UAAAAUGGUUGCUUGCAUCGCGUGAUGUAGAGGCCGUUCGUCAUCCCCUUUUCGAAGACAGAAAAAGAUUCCAUAUAAAUUUGGCAAACUCAAUCCCAUAAUCCAAAGGGCUUAAAAAUAUCCUCUCAAAUUCUUACAAAAACAAUAGUGAUCAAAGAGGUCACCAAGAGCAUUGUGCAUGGAAAGGUCGUUCAACACGUUACAUAUCGUUUCUAAUUAAUCAUCGCUGUGCAACCAAAAUAUAUAUCAGCGAACACUUGUGUCGAAUUAAGCACCGUUGUUCCUUGCCAAUACUGGACCGUAUUUUGUUUGUAUUGCACAUCAUAAUUAAGAUCACUAGAAGCCUAAGCUAUAUAACUAUAGCGCCUUGCACUAACGCGCUAUACGGACUAGCACCAAAACUUCCCAGGAGAAAAUAAAAGUGGUCCUAGAGGAGCAGCUUGCUCCCUGGCUCCCUGCUCAUAGCCACGAGGGAUAUUAAAUGUCAUUCAUUUAGAGAAAUAUUGUAGCUUUAGAAAAAUAAAAUAAAAACAGUCGAACCCAUGUUAUAAAAUGUGGAUGGAGUAGCACAAAGCAACAUGAUACGAGUUCCACCUAUCGUUCUUUCAUAUCUGAAUGGAAGGAGAGGCAAAGCAUGCUCUUUGGAGGGGCUGCAAAGAGCAGCUCGUGGGACUGGGACACAUGGGGAACUACUUAGUACUUACAUGCAAGGACGAAGGGUGAUCUUCUUCUUUAUCGUUGUUAAGAUGAGGUAGUCUAAGAGCGUCAACAUUGUGAUCGGCAGAUGGAGGAGACCUACAGAAAGUGUACUUAUAUGUCUCUAGGGAUAAAACAGUGUGCUACCCUGCUACAGCGAUGCUGUGCGCGGCCGAAGUAGGAGUAGCGUGUAGCGCACAAGGCCGGAGCGAUCGUUGCCAUCCAAGAGACCAGGAGUGACACAUCAGUACACUGUUUCACAAACGCCAAUUGAUCUCCAUUUCCUGAUCAUCUGUAGGUGUAGAAAAGGUUCGUCGUCAUCUUGAAUACUACUGGCAGUGAAAGAAAUCUGUGCGGUGCCCAGUAAUUUGCAGCAAGUUUCACUCAUGAAAAAACCUCUCUGAGCUAGAAUCCUACUUAUUUACCCGCAAAAAUAAAAGGGAUCCUGCUCAUUUGAUGAUAAGAUCUUUUGGGCUUUGAUACGUCCAUAUUUAUGAAGAAAUUCUGUGCAGGCAUUCCUUGUGCCAAUAUAAUAUCUCUAACAACCGCAUCAUGUGUAGCUAAUCAUCCAUACAAAUGAGACCAUCGGUGAAGUGUGUUCUCUCCCUACUUCACGAGUCUUAACAAGACACCGAAGCCCCCACCGCCCGAGCGCGGGUGCCGAAGAGUGCGGGCCCCCUGCCUUCCUCGGCCCGCCAUGCCCGGUGCUUCCUCGCCGCGCUGCCUCGGACCAUGCACACCCUGUCUGAGCUCCCGCUGAAGUGGCCGUCCUGCGCAGCCCCUCCCCGCGCGGAAGGAGGCGGACCCCACCGCCGUCGAGCCGCGCAGGCUUUACCCGGCGACCCCGUCCGACGGCUGCGAGGGAAGGCGUGAGUGGAGGGUUGAUGCUGGCGGCGGUUAGGGUUCGCUCUCGGCCGCCCGCGGGAGCGACCUGGGAGCGCGUCGUUUUUUGUCCCUGUCGAUGACUUGGACAUUAGUUUGUUGUGAUGAGUUGGGAUAUUACAAGUAGUUGCGGGAGAUAGAGUUAUUUGAUAACAUCAUACUAUCUGU
This 1746-nucleotide long non-coding RNA is filed under the name Hordeum vulgare. RNAcentral's name for it is "long non-coding RNA (HVUL_LNC017725)". Lineage: Eukaryota; Viridiplantae; Streptophyta; Magnoliopsida; Poales; Poaceae. The record is from RNAcentral.